CAGCAGCCACGGUAAUACGAAGGGGGCUAGCGUUGCUCGGAAUGACUGGGCGUAAAGGGCGCGUAGGCGGAUGACACAGUCAGAUGUGAAAUUCCCGGGCUUAACCUGGGGGCUGCAUUUGAUACGUGUUGUCUAGAGUGAGGAAGAGGGUUGUGGAAUUCCCAGUGUAGAGGUGAAAUUCGUAGAUAUUGGGAAGAACACCGGUGGCGAAGGCGGCAACCUGGUCCUUUACUGACGCUGAGGCGCGAAAGCGUGGGGAGCAAACAGGAUUAGAUACCCGAGUAGUCCCUGUCUCUUAUAC
Molecule: ribosomal RNA, 301 nt
Filed under: uncultured bacterium
Lineage: Bacteria
Description: partial 16S ribosomal RNA
Rfam family: Bacterial small subunit ribosomal RNA
Source: RNAcentral